GAUGAACGCUGGCGGCGUGCCUAAUACAUGCAAGUCGAGCGAACGGACGAGAAGCUUGCUUCUCUGAUGUUAGCGGCGGACGGGUGAGUAACACGUGGAUAACCUACCUAUAAGACUGGGAUAACUUCGGGAAACCGGAGAUAAUACCGGAUAAUAUUUUGAACCGCAUGGUUCAAAAGUGAAAGACGGUUUUGCUGUCACUUAUAGAUGGAUCCGCGCUGCAUUAGCUAGUUGGUAAGGUAACGGCCUACCAAGGCAACGAUGCAUAGCCGACCUGAGAGGGUGAUCGGCCACACUGGAACUGAGACACGGUCCAGACUCCUACGGGAGGCAGCAGUAGGGAAUCUUCCGCAAUGGGCGAAAGCCUGACGGAGCAACGCCGCGUGAGUGAUGAAGGUCUUCGGAUCGUAAAACUCUGUUAUUAGGGAAGAACAUAUGUGUAAGUAACUGUGCACAUCUUGACGGUACCUAAUCAGAAAGCCACGGCUAACUACGUG
RNAcentral lists this ribosomal RNA (497 nucleotides) under uncultured bacterium. Its description in RNAcentral is "partial 16S ribosomal RNA". It matches the Rfam family "Bacterial small subunit ribosomal RNA", at positions 28 to 507 of the family's 1533-position model. The record is from RNAcentral.